UAUCGUUUAUUUGAUAGUACCUUACUACAUGGAUACCUGUGGUAAUUCUAGAGCUAAUACAUGCUAAAAACCCCGACUUCAGGAAGGGGUGUAUUUAUUAGAUAAAAAACCAACGCCCUUCGGGGCUCCUUGGUGAAUCAUAAUAACUUAACGAAUCGCAUGGCCUUGCGCCGGCGAUGGUUCAUUCAAAUUUCUGCCCUAUCAACUUUCGAUGGUAGGAUAGUGGCCUACCAUGGUGGCAACGGGUAACGGGGAAUUAGGGUUCGAUUCCGGAGAGGGAGCCUGAGAAACGGCUACCACAUCCAAGGAAGGCAGCAGGCGCGCAAAUUACCCAAUCCCGAUACGGGGAGGUAGUGACAAUAAAUACUGAUACGGGGCUCUUUUGGGUCUCGUAA
Molecule: ribosomal RNA, 395 nt
Filed under: Penicillium decumbens
Lineage: Eukaryota; Fungi; Ascomycota; Eurotiomycetes; Eurotiales; Aspergillaceae
Description: SSU rRNA
Rfam family: Eukaryotic small subunit ribosomal RNA
Source: RNAcentral